RNAcentral lists this long non-coding RNA (303 nucleotides) under Phoenix dactylifera (date palm). Its description in RNAcentral is "long non-coding RNA (PDAC_LNC004785)". The record is from RNAcentral. Lineage: Eukaryota; Viridiplantae; Streptophyta; Magnoliopsida; Arecales; Arecaceae.
CUACAUAUCAUGAGGAUGGUCUAAUUGCCUUCUCUCCCUACUAGUAGCAAUGUUGUACUGUCGGUGCUAUUGUGAUGCAUCAUCCUUUAUAGUAUCCUGCAUCUCUAUCUCAUUGGGCUGAACUAGAGAAUUUUCCUGACACCCUUCUAGGAGCUUCAACAUCAAGCUUCACCUAUUUACUAACAUUGCAGUCUAUACAUGCACUGUCAACAAAUUUCUUCUUUUGGAUUAAUAUAUUAGACUCAUCAAAAGUUAUAACUUUGCUAAUUGUAAUUUUGGAUGACCUAGAAUUAUCUGCACACU